Molecule: ribosomal RNA, 478 nt
Filed under: uncultured bacterium
Lineage: Bacteria
Description: partial 16S ribosomal RNA
Rfam family: Bacterial small subunit ribosomal RNA
Source: RNAcentral
GAUGAACGCUGGCGGCGUGCCUAACACAUGCAAGUCGAACGGAGUCCAGCCUUUAAGACCUUCGGGUCAAAGAGGGGAAGACUGAGUAGCGGACGGGUGAGUAGCACGUGGGCAACCUGGCUCAUAGAGGGGGAUAACAGAGAGAAAUUUCUGCUAAUACCGCAUAAGCACACACUGCCGCAUGGCAGAGGGUGAAAAGAGAAUCGCUAUGAGAUGGACCCGCGUCUGAUUAGCCAGUUGGCAGGGUAAGAGCCUACCAAAGCGACGAUCAGUAGCCGAUCUGAGAGGAUGAACGGCCACAUUGGGACUGAGACACGGCCCAAACUCCUACGGGAGGCAGCAGUGGGGGAUAUUGCACAAUGGGGGGAACCCUGAUGCAGCGACGCCGCGUGAGUGAAGAAGUAUUUCGGUAUGUAAAGCUCUAUCAGCAGGGAAGAUAAUGACAGUACCUGAAUAAGAAGCCCCGGCUAACUACGUG